This is a non-coding RNA of Myodes glareolus (Bank vole), 433 nucleotides long. Lineage: Eukaryota; Metazoa; Chordata; Mammalia; Rodentia; Cricetidae. The record is from RefSeq and is a predicted model, not a curated record.
CAACCUGGCCAGCCUGCUACCAGAUGAUAAUCCAGCAGAGUCUCUCCGUGAUUGCCUGGAGGUAACUGCUGUGGUCCAGUUCAUCAGACUGGAGCUAACAGAGUGGAAAUGGAAGAGGUGCUGUAUUCUGAUGGGAGAAGUUCUCUUCAAGAUGGAAUCAGGUCCUGAGCGUCCAGGUUGGGAAGCAGCAGGGAGGUGAAGACAUGGACUUUCCCCUCUGUGGCCCAGGGGGCGAUGGAGGAGCAGAUGGAGCAGUCAGGAAGAAGAUGGGGCCCACAACGAUUCCACCUGACUGAUAUGAUAUCGUGAUGCUGAUAGUGCCACUUUAAGAUCAUCUUAUGUUACAAACUCCUCAAGAUGAUUCCAACUUGGCUAAUUGACAUGGUGCACCUUCUUACAAUGUUCUGGCCAGAAUUUCAAAUAAGAACUUCCG